RNAcentral lists this ribosomal RNA (433 nucleotides) under uncultured bacterium. Its description in RNAcentral is "partial 16S ribosomal RNA". It matches the Rfam family "Bacterial small subunit ribosomal RNA", at positions 29 to 507 of the family's 1533-position model. The record is from RNAcentral.
AACGAACGCUGGCGGCAGGCUUAACACAUGCAAGUCGAGCGCAUCCUUCGGGGCGAGCGGCGGACGGGUGAGUAACGCGUGGGAACGUGCCCUCUUCUACGGAAUAGCCUCGGGAAACUGAGAGUAAUGCCGUAUACGCCCGCAAGGGGAAAGAUUUAUCGGAGGAGGAUCGGCCCGCGUUGGAUUAGGUAGUUGGUGGGGUAACGGCCUACCAAGCCGACGAUCCAUAGCUGGUUUGAGAGGAUGAUCAGCCACACUGGGACUGAGACACGGCCCAGACUCCUACGGGAGGCAGCAGUGGGGAAUCUUGGACAAUGGGGGCAACCCUGAUCCAGCCAUGCCGCGUGAUCGAUGAAGGCCUUAGGGUUGUAAAGAUCUUUCAGCUGGGAAGAUAAUGACGGUACCAGCAGAAGAAGCCCCGGCUAACUCCGUG